This 868-nucleotide ribosomal RNA is filed under the name uncultured archaeon. RNAcentral's name for it is "bacterial SSU rRNA". It matches the Rfam family "Archaeal small subunit ribosomal RNA", at positions 1 to 878 of the family's 1478-position model. The record is from RNAcentral.
CUCCGGUUGAUCCCGCCGGACCCGACUGCUAUCAGAGUGGGACUAAGCCAUGCGAGUCAACAUAGCAAUAUGUGGCAUACGGCUCAGUAACACGUAGUCAACAUGCCCAGGGGACGUGGAUAACCUCGGGAAACUGAGGAUAAACCGCGAUAAGUCACUACUUCUGGAAUGGGUAAUGACUCAAAUCUAUAUGGCCCCUGGAUUGGACUGCGGCCGAUCAGGCUGUUGGUGAGGUAAUGGCCCACCAAACCUGUAACCGGUACGGGCUCUGAGAGGAGGAGCCCGGAGAUGGGCACUGAGACAAGGGCCCAGGCCCUAUGGGGCGCAGCAGGCGCGAAACCUCUGCAAUAGGCGAAAGCUUGACAGGGUUACUCUGAGUGAUUUCCGUUAAGGAAAUCUUUUGGCACCUCUAAAAAUGGUGCAGAAUAAGGGGUGGGCAAGUCUGGUGUCAGCCGCCGCGGUAAUACCAGCACCCCGAGUGGUCGGGACGUUUAUUGGGCCUAAAGCAUCCGUAGCCGGUUCUACAAGUCUUCCGUUAAAUCCAACUGCUUAACAGGUGGGCUGCGGAAGAUACUAUAGAGCUAGGAGGCGGGAGAGGCAAGCGGUACUCGAUGGGUAGGGGUAAAAUCCGUUGAUCCAUUGAAGACCACCAGUGGCGAAGGCGGCUUGCCAGAACGCGCUCGACGGUGAGGGAUGAAAGCUGGGGGAGCAAACCGGAUUAGAUACCCGGGUAGUCCCAGCUGUAAACGAUGCAGACUCGGUGAUGAGUUGGCUAUAUGCCAACUCAGUGCCGCAGGGAAGCCGUUAAGUUUGCCGCCUGGGGAGUACGGUCGCAAGACUGAAACUUAAAGGAAUUGGCGGGGGAGCA